AUCUCAGAACACGACACCGCUUUUACUCUCUACGGUGAAACCGCUCCCGAUCUCCUUCACACUGCGACCUCGCUCCGAUCUCCUUCACACUGCGACCUCGCUCCGAUCUCAUUCUCGCUGCAAUCUCGCUCCGGUCUUGCUCCGUUCACGAUCUCGCUCCGAUAUGGACUCGAUUCUCUUCGUUGUAUUUCUCCUUCUCUCUAUAAAUUGUUGUUCGUUUUCUAUCCCUCUCAUGGUUGUUAUUCUUCGUUGAAAUUUGAUGUUCUCCACUGUUUCUUCUCCGAUUGUAGUGUAUGUUAAAUUUCGACACUCUAAUUUAGUUCCUUUUCACUAAUUGUGAUUUGGAUUUGAACCCUAUGAAUUUCAUGUUUAGGUUUUGCAUAAAUUGAAUUCAUUAGGUUUUGCAAAAAUUGAAUUUAGGUUACUGAAUUUGUUCACCAAAUUGACAAUUAGGUUUUGCAAAAUUUGAAUUCAGGUUACUGAAUUCACUUUACUUUAUGCGAUAGAAUUAGAUGAUACUUAUUGGAUUGAUUCUAUAAUUCACAUUUCCGGUGGCUGGUAUUUAGAUGAUACAUAAUUCUUAUUCUUACAAAAAAAAUUUGUGUUGAGAUAAUAAUCCCUCUGUAUAUUGAUUGUCACUUUCUUUAUAUAUGUUCAUAAUGAUUGCCUUUUUUCUAGUGUAGGUGAUUUGUGAUAUGGUUUAGUAAGUUAACAAAUGCAGCUUUUUUUCAUAGUUUAUUCAUAUAAACCUUAGCAGCUAUGUCUUUUGAUAAAAAAUGAAUUGAAAGUUAGACGAAAGUCUUACAUAGCUUAGAGGUAUGCAUGCCUUAGUAUGAAUAUACUUAUGUAGUUAUAACUUAUGACAGUAUAUAGAUAGCUAUCCAAUGUAUAAUUUUCAGCGUUCAAAAUAACACUUCUACAGUCAAGUCUUCAUUGCAAACUACUUUAUAGCUAUACUUAUUGUGAAGGGGUUAUUUAUAUUUGAUGGAUUGUAAUGAGUAGUGUACGGUGCCUGUAGUCUUUGAUACUUUCAAUUUAAAAUUUGAGUUUCUUUUGUUUUUGUAUGCUUAAUUACUGUUUGGCAAAUAAGCACGUGAAAAUGCAUUGCGGUGCAUUGGUGAUAAUGAUGUUCAAAAGCUUGGAAGAAGUGUUUUUCCUGAAAAUUUGAAGGCUACUACUAUCAGCGAGAUUACUAGGCUCAGGAACGUUGCAAUGACAUCAAUUACUUCACGCUUUGUGGUUGAUGAACGGACUAUCCAGAUGCCGGUAAGUCUACAACAAGAGACAGAUACUUUACUUCAGUGGUCAGAUACCAAAGUAGAGAAAGCUGGUUGACCUUCUACUGGAGGUUCUUAAUAUUGUGUCUGGUUUUGGUCCAACUUCUGGUUCAGCUCUUACCAGUCAUAUGGAUGUUGACAAGGGUAGGUUGCUUAAUUUGUAUCUGUUAUUGAUCCAGCAAGGAAUCCGUCAAGAUUCUUCUCCAAAGACUCUGGAUAUUGUCAAUCUACUGCAUAAUAAUACUGAACCAUUCUGCCUCCACGUCGCAGAAAGGAAGUUGACUUGGUUAAGGACGACAUCAAAAUCAUAGACAUCCCUGUGCACUUGGUUAAGGUAUAUUCAACAAUGGAGUUUCUUUAUGAUGUUUCUGUGUGUGUCUGUAUUCAGCAAUGGAGUUCAUUUAUGACUUGGGUCAAUUCAUGGAAAGGGGGAAAUAUUGGUACUUCCUUUAACACUUAAAAUCUUUGAAAAUUUCCAAGUAUAACAUGCAUAUUUGCUUCAUUUAAUUUAGCUUUUUUCAAAUUUGUAACGGAUGAUAAUUAAUUUAUAAUUAGCUCUGUUUUGGGCAUGGCUUCA
Molecule: RNA transcript, 1854 nt
Organism: Trifolium pratense (red clover)
Lineage: Eukaryota; Viridiplantae; Streptophyta; Magnoliopsida; Fabales; Fabaceae
Exons: 6
Source: RefSeq, a predicted model, not a curated record